This is a long non-coding RNA of Bufo gargarizans (Asiatic toad), 445 nucleotides long. RefSeq lists it as uncharacterized. The record is from RefSeq and is a predicted model, not a curated record. The transcript is spliced from 3 exons. Lineage: Eukaryota; Metazoa; Chordata; Amphibia; Anura; Bufonidae.
CGGAAGAAGCCAGUUUACUGAGAGUGACACACCAUUCAGGCUUGUAUUUAAAAAUCGGGAAAAAAAAAUAUUCUGCCAAGGUUUUUGGGGUUUUGAUAUUCACUUUGCUCUGAAACAUGACAUCCUUAUUAUGCAGUGAAGGGAAGAGAAAAUCUGAGGCAAGUACAAGGAAUAAAAGGUCAUGAAAUAAAGAAAAUCCUUUAAUAUAAAAGAACAGACGACGGACGAUGCCUGAAAAGCUACAGAACAUCUGAUCUCCAAAGAAGACAGGAGACACCACUGACAGCCUGCUUCUCUAAGACAGGAAUCACACAAGCAGGUCUUCUGACCCAAACACUGGAGCAGACCUAAAGGCCUCAUGCAGACGACCGUUCCGUUUUUUGCUUAUCCGCAGUUUGCGGACUGCAAAAAAAAUGGAAGCUGCCCGUGUGCCUUCUGCAAUUUA